UCCAGUCUCUUGGUCUGAAAGUGAUCAGCUUAAUUUUAGUAAACCUUGUUGUGAUUAUGUGAUAGAACAUUAGUGUUUUAUUUUUGUAAAAAUUUAUGUAUUGUUGUAGUUGCAAUGACAACUGUAUCUACCACCAAAACAAAUCAACCUUCGAGUCCGAGAGAGUUUUUUAAGAAACUCUAUGGAGAUUUAGAGAAAAAUGACUUGGAAAAGUCUUCAGAAAAGUCUGAAAAAAGUAUAGACGAAAAAAAUGACCUGGGAUGUCCAGGGAAUCACGGGAAUGGUUCUAAAAGUACUAGGGAAGAGUUGGUGGUUCCUGUACCGAUUCUGGCAACUUCUUUCCCGUUUUUGUUGCCUCCUGAGUCGCAUCUAGCAGCUGCGGCGGCGGGACUUUCAGCUUUCUUAGCCAGACGUCGUAGGAAAGAAGGUAGACCCAGACGUCAAAGAACAACUUUCAGUUCAGAACAAACCUUGAGACUGGAGAUCGAAUAUCAGAGAUCAGAAUACAUCAGUAGGGGUAGAAGAUGUGAGCUCGCUGACGAGUUACGUCUCUCCGAGACUCAGAUCAAAAUUUGGUUCCAAAACAGACGAGCCAAAGACAAACGUAUAGAAAAAGCUCAUAUGGAUCACCAUUACAGGGGUUUCCACAUGGAUAUACAGUAUUUCUGAGAACCUGCUUAAGAAAUUAUAGAAUUAAAUAUGUGAUCCUUUUUUCUCAAUGAAGAAUCUCAUCAAGUCGAAGCAAGAACGAGUCAAAAGCAUUGUGUAAUGGAUAGAAAUUUGCCAUCAUUAUGAUUAAAGAGAUAUCUAUGUGAGUGAUAUCUCUAUGAUCUUUCUACUGGCCAGCAUUAAAUCCUUUGUAAAAUGGGUUAAAUAUUAACUCCAGAUGAUGGCCUGAUAUACAGAGAAUUGAAGCUCUUUUUAUGUAUGUAACCCAGAGACAUGUAGAACAAUCAAGAUAACAAUGUAGAAGAAUCAACUGGUGAAGGGAUAUUGAAAUGGGGGGAUUUCUACAUGGAUAUACAGUAUUUAUGAGAGCCUGCCUAACAAAUUACAGAAUUAAAUAUGCAGUCCUUUCUUCUCAAUGAAGAAUCUCUUCAUGUACAAGCAUGAACAAGUCAAAAGCAUUGUGGAAUAGACAGAAAUUUGCCAUUGUCAUGAUUAAAGUGAUAUCUAUGUGAGUGAUGGGAACAGUUUGAAGGCCCUUUGAAUACCUAUUAGCUCGUAGUAUACGAAAAAACAGUAAAUCUUAAAGUCAAGCAAGAGAGCACACAGUUUCACUGCAGCAAUCUCACAGUGUCCAGGACUUGAUGAAAUAGGAAGAAAAUAUGAUUUUACCAAGAUUCAGACAUAUAUAUGAGUCCAGUAAAUCCAGCAUACAUGUUGAAGUCUCCAUCCACAUCUCCAUGAUCCAGGUCCACUACGUGCAACUUUUAUUAAACCUUUUGUAUAUUGUAUUU
RNAcentral lists this unclassified non-coding RNA (1460 nucleotides) under Sitophilus oryzae (rice weevil). RNAcentral describes it as "homeobox protein rough-like, transcript variant X6". Lineage: Eukaryota; Metazoa; Arthropoda; Insecta; Coleoptera; Curculionidae. The record is from RNAcentral.